RNAcentral lists this ribosomal RNA (126 nucleotides) under Neogale vison (American mink). Lineage: Eukaryota; Metazoa; Chordata; Mammalia; Carnivora; Mustelidae. The record is from RNAcentral.
GUCUAUGGCCAUACCACCCUGAACACGCCCGAUCUUGUCUGAUCCCAGAAGCUAAGCAGGGUCGGGCCUGGUUAGUACGGGCCUGGUUAGUACUUGGAUGGGAGAAGUGUUUAGCCAGUAUGUACA